This 253-nucleotide ribosomal RNA is filed under the name uncultured bacterium. RNAcentral's name for it is "partial 16S ribosomal RNA". It matches the Rfam family "Archaeal small subunit ribosomal RNA", at positions 474 to 727 of the family's 1478-position model. The record is from RNAcentral.
UACCAGCACCCCGAGUGGUCGGGACGUUUAUUGGGCCUAAAGCAUCCGUAGCCGGUUCUACAAGUCUUCCGUUAAAUCCACCUGCUUAACAGAUGGGCUGCGGAAGAUACUAUGGAGCUAGGAGGCGGGAGAGGCAAGCGGUACUCGAUGGGUAGGGGUAAAAUCCGUUGAUCCGUUGAAGACCACCAGUGGCGAAGGCGGCUUGCCAGAACGCGCUCGACGGUGAGGGAUGAAAGCUGGGGGAGCAAACCGG